This 206-nucleotide ribosomal RNA is filed under the name uncultured bacterium. RNAcentral's name for it is "partial 16S ribosomal RNA". It matches the Rfam family "Bacterial small subunit ribosomal RNA", at positions 568 to 774 of the family's 1533-position model. The record is from RNAcentral.
CGUGCAGCCGGGUCUGCAAGUCAGAUGUGAAAUCCAUGGGCUCAACCCAUGAACUGCAUUUGAAACUGCAGAUCUUGAGUGUCGGAGGGGCAAUCGGAAUUCCUAGUGUAGCGGUGAAAUGCGUAGAUAUUAGGAGGAACACCAGUGGCGAAGGCGGAUUGCUGGACGAUAACUGACGGUGAGGCGCGAAAGUGUGGGAGCAAACA